CCUACGGGAGGCAGCAGUGGGGAAUUUUGGACAAUGGGGGCAACCCUGAUCCAGCAAUGCCGCGUGUGUGAAGAAGGCCUUCGGGUUGUAAAGCACUUUUGUCCGGAAAGAAAUUGCUCUGGCUAAUACCUGGGGUAGAUGACGGUACCGGAAGAAUAAGCACCGGCUAACUACGUGCCAGCAGCCGCGGUAAUACGUAGGGUGCGAGCGUUAAUCGGAAUUACUGGGCGUAAAGCGUGCGCAGGCGGUUUUGUAAGACAGGCGUGAAAUCCCCGGGCUCAACCUGGGAAUUGCGCUUGUGACUGCAAGGCUAGAGUGCGUCAGAGGGGGGUAGAAUUCCACGUGUAGCAGUGAAAUGCGUAGAGAUGUGGAGGAAUACCGAUGGCGAAGGCAGCCCCCUGGGACGUGACUGACGCUCAUGCACGAAAGCGUGGGGAGCAAACAGGAUUAGAUACCCUGGUAGUCCACGCCCUAAACGAUGUCAACUAGUUGUUGGGGAUUCAUUUUCUCAGUAACGUAGCUAACGCGUGAAGUUGACCGCCUGGGGAGUACGGUCGCAAGAUUAAAACUCAAAGGAAUUGACGG
Molecule: ribosomal RNA, 585 nt
Filed under: uncultured beta proteobacterium
Lineage: Bacteria; Pseudomonadati; Pseudomonadota; Betaproteobacteria
Description: bacterial SSU rRNA
Rfam family: Bacterial small subunit ribosomal RNA
Source: RNAcentral